GUUGUGCAGGUGCAGUUGCAGUAUAUGUUAAUGAUGAUCAAUUUUUUUUUGUAGGAAGUACCAUAUAAAGAUCAGAUUAUAAAAGAUACAGUUGGAGAAGUAAUGAAGAUGUUCAAGGAACAACUCCCUCCUGAAACUUUUGCUAAUUUGACUCGAUCACUCGGCGACGUGUCAUCUGAUUUAGAAAUCACGGAGCAUCCUUCUAAAGAUACGAAUGAACAAGAGCUUCAACAUGAUGAUGGAAAUAAUGGCGGAUUAGAGUAGCAAGCAUGCAUGAUACAUCGAGAAGCAUGCGUACAUGGAUAAUGGAAUUGAAGAAUAAUGAAAGAAUGACCUUAAGAUUGAUUUAGGUUUAUUCAAGGAGAGAUGUAUAUAUUAUGAUUUUAUGAUUUAAUUUUCAAAUUAACUAUUUAUAUUUUGGAUGCAAUAGUAUGUUUUCGAUUGAGUAUACUCUUUGGCUCAUUUUUUACAAUGGUCGUUGAGUAUUUCUACUCAUUUAUAUCAAUAAUAUCAUUUUAUUUCCUCUUCAA
Beta vulgaris subsp. vulgaris (sugar beet) is the source of this 530-nucleotide long non-coding RNA. RefSeq lists it as uncharacterized. The record is from RefSeq and is a predicted model, not a curated record. NCBI's taxonomy places the organism in Eukaryota, Viridiplantae, Streptophyta, Magnoliopsida, Caryophyllales, Amaranthaceae. The transcript has 2 exons.